GAUGAAGAACGUAGUGAAAUGCGAUAAGUAGUGUGAAUUGCAGAAUUCAGUGAAUCAUCGAAUCUUUGAACGCACAUUGCGCCCCUUGGUAUCCCGAGGGGCAUGCCUGUUCGAGCGUCAUUAUCACCCCUCAAGCUCAGCUUGGUGUUGGGGCCGGCCCGUCACAGGGCCGCCCCUAAAAGCAGUGGCGGUGCCAUCUGGCUCUACGCGUAGUAAUACUCCUCGCGACAGAGUCCCGGUGGUGUCCUGCCAGAACCCCCCAUCUUUUUAAUGAUUGACCUCGGAUCAGGUAGGGAUACCCGCUGAACUUAAGCAUAUCAAUAAGCGGAGGA
This 332-nucleotide unclassified non-coding RNA is filed under the name soil metagenome. Its description in RNAcentral is "partial contains 5.8S ribosomal RNA, internal transcribed spacer 2, and large subunit ribosomal RNA". The stretch from base 1 to 120 matches the Rfam family "5.8S ribosomal RNA", at positions 35 to 154 of the family's 154-position model. The record is from RNAcentral.